This 26-nucleotide small RNA is filed under the name Bombyx mori (domestic silkworm). Its description in RNAcentral is "ovarian small RNA-9200". Lineage: Eukaryota; Metazoa; Arthropoda; Insecta; Lepidoptera; Bombycidae. The record is from RNAcentral.
UGUUGAAAAAAUGGGAUUAUAGCUGC